Long non-coding RNA from Pongo pygmaeus (Bornean orangutan), 1340 nucleotides. RefSeq lists it as uncharacterized. Lineage: Eukaryota; Metazoa; Chordata; Mammalia; Primates; Hominidae. The transcript has 3 exons. The record is from RefSeq and is a predicted model, not a curated record.
AACUUAGUGGGAAUGGCUUUGUCAUUUAUGUGAGCCCCUAGAACCUCAUCUGAUAUUUUAUGGUAAUAUGAUGACUCUAUGAGCUGGCCAUACCCAGUAGUCAGAGUGAAACCGGCCAUGUAAAAACGACAAAGCACAGGAUUCAGGGUAGGAGCUUGGGCCCCGUGGUAUCAGUUGACUUACAGACUGAGUUCAACCACAUGGCAACAUAUUAAUCAAUCAUACCUAUGCAAUGAAGUCUUCAUAAAAACUAUGGACAACAAAGUUCUGAGUGUUCAGAAAUAUCAAAUAUGAGCUGAAUAAGAAGUGGAAAGACAAGGAUUCAUCCCUUCCACAGACUACAAACCUGGCUGAUAGAGAGAAUAUUUCAUUUUAGAUCAAAUGAUUCACUGUCAUCUUUGUCUGAUAUUACAACAUAGUGACCACUCAACUAUCCUCAAUGGUAUUUGACUACAUGGAUUCUGUAAAUAGGUGAAGCUUAAGAACACUAUUUUUUUUUCAAGUGCAACAUACUGUAGUCAUAAGAUGAAUGGGGUCUUGCCCAUAUAUCUAUGUGAAAUUUAGUUAAAACAAGCAAUGUGAAGAAUACAUAAUCUCACAUUUUGUAUGUCACACUAUAAAUUCUAUACCAGGAUGUACUUCAUUUUUGCCCUGUUAUUCUCUACCAAAGGGAAACAAAUGAGGAGAGCUCACCAUAUUUGUUUAUUUAUUUAACAUUUGAAAAUCAUAAUCACAGAGCUGAACUUCAUAUUCCUUGGUGUGCUUCAUGUAGCACACCCCAGAUAUAAGUGAGUGGUGGCUUUUUUAUUGGAGAAAUUACAAAGUUUUUUUUCCUAUAUCUGAAAACCCACAUCUGAAGUUUUAAAAUGUGUACCUCUCUAAAAGAUACAAUUGCUUUGUCCUCACCUGUGUGAUGAGGUUAGAUGUUGCCAUUCUGUUAAAAGCAAAACUUCCUACCAGAUGUAUUUUGAAUGAAUUCUUGAUUCACAAUGGAAGUUGCUCACAGCUAAAAUGAAAUAUGUGUUGCCUUCUCUCCAGUUUGUUUUCUCGGAUUUCUAAACACAAAGACAAAAAAGGACAGAAAACACUUUGUAUUUGCUAUAACCUUGAGAAUCAAUCCUAAGAGUUAAAUGUCGAAUUGUUGAAUUACUUGCUCUUAUUAUCCUCUAACUAUUCCAUAUUCUUUUAAUUGACUCAGUGUUGUAAAGAUAAAUGCCUUGGGUUACGCACAACACAGAACACAGCACAAAAUAAUGCAAUUUCAUAAAAGAUCUUCUGUAAUUGCUUAUCACACAUGGCUGUGCAUGACAGAUAAAAACAAUAAAGGAACAAAUGGAAAA